AGAAUAUAAGAAGAAGGGAACGUCCCACUAGUGGUCUGAUUAACGAGGGAAAGAUGGUUCAGAUGAAACUGGAAUCGACGAGAAAGUUUUUAAAACAAGGAGGUAGCCAUGCUAAGAAAGAAUACAUCUCCUGUUUAAAGCAGCAGUACCAGCACCUUUCUAUUGAAAUACAAGCUUACACCAAAAAUGGAAAAAGGGAGCAAGCAAAGUUGGCGUUAACGAAGAAAAAUUAUGUAAAAGCAGAAUUGGACAAACUGGUUUCAGCAUGAGAUUUAUAUUGUUGCAGUUUUCAAACCAAUGUUUGCUAUUUCUAUCUUACUUGUGGGUGUUUUCCUAUGUACCGCUCCCGAAACAUAUAUAGUUCAAUAUCGCAGUUUAAUUUUAUCUAAUUUUAGAUAUGCAAUAAAAAUAUGUAGAUGUAACAUGUUA
Ciona intestinalis (vase tunicate) is the source of this 429-nucleotide non-coding RNA. Lineage: Eukaryota; Metazoa; Chordata; Ascidiacea; Phlebobranchia; Cionidae. The record is from RefSeq and is a predicted model, not a curated record.